UACAGAGGGGGCAAGCGUUGUUCGGAAUUACUGGGCGUAAAGGGCGCGUAGGCGGCCUGCUAAGUCGAACGUGAAAUCCCCGGGCUCAACCCGGGAACUGCGUCCGAUACUGACAGGCUUGAAUCCGGGAGAGGGAUGUGGAAUUCCAGGUGUAGCGGUGAAAUGCGUAGAUAUCUGGAGGAACACCGGUGGCGAAGGCGGCAUCCUGGACCGGUAUUGACGCUGAGGAGCGAAAGCCAGGGGAGCAAACGGG
This 253-nucleotide ribosomal RNA is filed under the name uncultured bacterium. RNAcentral's name for it is "partial 16S ribosomal RNA". It matches the Rfam family "Bacterial small subunit ribosomal RNA", at positions 524 to 776 of the family's 1533-position model. The record is from RNAcentral.